GUGAACGUAGCAGGCGCACAGAACUGUAGGCCAAGUUCAGACAGGAAGAAACGUUGCCGCGGCCUCCGAGCACGUUUCAACUGGCUUCAACCAGUUUCGAGGACGAGACGCGAGUAUUCCCGUAUUUCCUUUAGUAAAAAUUGUCUUCUGAUUUAUUAACGAAUGGAGUUGUUUGUACGAGUUUCUAUCUAUGUCCAUCUUUGUCCGUCACGUGAUUUCGUCGGCGACCGUGAGUUCCAGCCGAUCUCUUUCCCUUCGAAUAACCUUAAAGCCUGUUCUGGGAAAUAUAAACUUGUGCAUCGUGCAAAGACUGACAAGCAACAAGAUAUGCGAAACAAUGUGAUAAAAGUAGGUCGAGUUAGAGAGAAGAAUGACGAAUAAACUGUCCGCAACUAUUUACUUUGUAAGAGAAUAAUACUCAUCUGUUUCGUUAUUUUAUACAAUGCUUUUUUCCGAGUAUUUACGGCAGUGAAAAAAUGUUUCCUAUGAAGGCAUUUACGUUAACACGUAACCAUGUUUACGGUUGAAAUAAUAACAUUCUUUAAAAAUAACGGGCUGCUCCGUUGAAUGUGUCUGACAGUGACGAAUACUCUCAUGCGAGUAAAGAGUAAACGACCCGGUUUUUCAACGGGAAACAAUAUAGCUGGAAAUUACGAUGCGAUAGAUUCUACAUGCACAUGAAAGAAACAUGGAACCAACGAUUUUUGUCCAAUUUGUGCAACGCUACGGUAGAUUGGCUUAUCGAACUGAAUAAAACAAAAGGUAAACUAAUGGUUCAUAUUAUUUUGUCGUUUUUAACGAAACGGCAGUUUCAUUCAAACAGAAAUGUGUCUUCCAUUAAGUGAACUACUUUUCCUUUU
Molecule: long non-coding RNA, 860 nt
Organism: Frieseomelitta varia
Lineage: Eukaryota; Metazoa; Arthropoda; Insecta; Hymenoptera; Apidae
Exons: 4
Source: RefSeq, a predicted model, not a curated record